This 945-nucleotide ribosomal RNA is filed under the name Isotealia sp. ER-2010. Its description in RNAcentral is "eukaryotic LSU rRNA". It matches the Rfam family "Eukaryotic large subunit ribosomal RNA", at positions 72 to 823 of the family's 3401-position model. Lineage: Eukaryota; Metazoa; Cnidaria; Anthozoa; Actiniaria; Actiniidae. The record is from RNAcentral.
GGAUUCCCCUAGUAAUGGCGAAUGAAGCGGGAACAGCUCAAAUUUGAAAUCUCCGUCGCCUGCGACGGCGAAUUGUAGUUUCGAGAAGCACUUUCUAGGCGAGCCCGGAGCCGUCCAAGUUGCUUGGAACAGCACGUCAUAGAGGGUGACAACCCCGUCUGUGGCGGAGCCGGCCGCUCACGAUGUGCUUUCGACGAGUCGGGUUGUUUGGGAAUGCAGCCCAAAAUGGGUGGUAAACUCCAUCUAAAGCUAAAUAUUGGCACGAGACCGAUAGCGAACAAGUACCGUGAGGGAAAGAUGAAAAGCACUUUGAAAAGAGAGUUAAAAAGUACGUGAAACCGUUAAAAGGGAAACGAAUGGGGUUAGCAAUGCGCUCCGCGAGAUUCAGCCGGCGGGAGAGCUGGUCGGGCGGUCCGCGGAUCCGAAUGGACCGCUGCCGUCAGUCACGGAACCUCCGCCGUCGCACUUCUCGCGAGCGCGCGCCAACGUCGGUUGGGACCGGGUCUCAAAGUCGCCGGGAAGGUAGGCGUAGUCCCUCGGGGCUACGCUGUUAUAGACCGGCGUCCUCAUGGCCCGGGCCCGACCGAGGAGCCGCGGCGUGUGCCUCUUCUGGCUGGGGUCCCGUCGGUCCGGUCGGUAGUCGAAUGCGGUGGACUGCAUGCAGUGCGCCGCGACCGCUGCCGGUCGCGCCGGUGGUGACCUCACACCACGCGCCCAGGACGUUGGCGGUCACAUGGCCUCAUCCGACCCGUCUUGAAACACGGACCAAGGAGUCUAACAUGUGCGCGAGUCUUCGAGUGAUCGAAACUCCCAGGCAGAAUGAAAGUGAAGGUGGCCUCGGCCGCUGAGGUGAGAACCCCUCCCCCGGGAGGGGCGCAUCAUCGACCGACCUAUUCUACUCUUAGGAAGGUUUGAGUAAGAGCGCAUCUGUUGGGACCCGAAAGA